UCGAGUUUAUUUGGCUCUGAUGCUGGCCUCUUAGGCAUGUGCUCGGGUCAUUAAAUCCACUCAACCACUGUGCACUAAUUCGAAGCUUUGCGGUGGGCCCUCUCCGGGGUCAGCCGGGCUUUGAGCCUUCAUAAACUACUUUAUUGUCAUGUCGAAUGUGAAUAUUAAAAUAUAAUA
RNAcentral lists this unclassified non-coding RNA (177 nucleotides) under uncultured fungus. RNAcentral describes it as "sequence contains ITS1, 5.8S rRNA gene". The record is from RNAcentral. Lineage: Eukaryota; Fungi.